RNAcentral lists this ribosomal RNA (441 nucleotides) under uncultured bacterium. RNAcentral's name for it is "partial 16S ribosomal RNA". It matches the Rfam family "Bacterial small subunit ribosomal RNA", at positions 338 to 795 of the family's 1533-position model. The record is from RNAcentral.
CCUACGGGAGGCAGCAGUGGGGAAUAUUGCACAAUGGGGGAAACCCUGAUGCAGCGACGCCGCGUGAGUGAAGAAGUAUUUCGGUAUGUAAAGCUCUAUCAGCAGGGAAGAAGAAAGACGGUACCUGACUAAGAAGCCCCGGCUAACUACGUGCCAGCAGCCGCGGUAAUACGUAGGGGGCAAGCGUUAUCCGGAUAUACUGGGUGUAAGGGGAGCGUAGACGGCUGUGCAAGUCUGAAGUGAAAGCCCAGGGCUCAACCCUGGGACUGCUUUGGAAACUGUGGAGCUAGAGUGCUGGAGAGGUAAGUGGAAUUCCUAGUGUAGCGGUGAAAUGCGUAGAUAUUAGGAGGAACACCAGUGGCGAAGGCGGCUUACUGGACAGUAACUGACGUUGAGGCUCGAAAGCGUGGGGAGCAAACAGGAUUAGAUACCCCAGUAGUC